GGGUCUAUAGUUCAGGGGUUAGAGUGCUGGUCUUGUAAACCAGGGAUUGCAAGUUCAUAUCUCGCUGGGGCCC
RNAcentral lists this transfer RNA (73 nucleotides) under Loxodonta africana (African savanna elephant). It matches the Rfam family "tRNA". Rfam says of the family: Transfer RNA (tRNA) molecules are approximately 80 nucleotides in length. Lineage: Eukaryota; Metazoa; Chordata; Mammalia; Proboscidea; Elephantidae. The record is from Rfam by way of RNAcentral.